UACGGAGGAUCCGAGCGUUAUCCGGAUUUAUUGGGUUUAAAGGGUGCGUAGGCGGGAGAUUAAGUCGGUGGUGAAAUUUUGCAGCUCAACUGUAAAAGUGCCAUUGAUACUGGUUUCCUUGAGUGUGGAUGAAGUAGGCGGAAUUUGUGGUGUAGCGGUGAAAUGCAUAGAUAUCACGAGGAACUCCGAUUGCGCAGGCAGCUUACUAAACCAUAACUGACGCUCAGGCACGAAGGCGUGGGGAUCAAACAGGAUUAGAUACCCCGGUA
RNAcentral lists this ribosomal RNA (269 nucleotides) under uncultured prokaryote. Its description in RNAcentral is "partial 16S ribosomal RNA". It matches the Rfam family "Bacterial small subunit ribosomal RNA", at positions 524 to 792 of the family's 1533-position model. The record is from RNAcentral.